GCGGCCGCAGCGCUGGUGGCCAUGCUCUUGGAGCACUACGGCCUGGCGGGCCAGCCCUCGCCGCUGCCGCGCCCCGCGCCCCCCAGGAGGCCGCACCCCGCGCCAGGGCCCGGAGACAGCAACAUCUUCUGGGGCCUGCAGAUAUCCGACAUUCACCUGAGCAGGUUUCGAGAUCCAGGCAGAGCGGUAGACUUAGAGAAAUUCUGUUCUGAAACUAUUGACAUCAUUCAACCAGCUCUCGUCCUAGCAACAGGAGACCUGACAGAUGCCAAAACAAAGGAACAGUUGGGAUCCAGGCAGCAUGAGGUAGAAUGGCAAACCUACCAGGGUAUUCUGAAGAAGACAAGAGUCAUGGAAAAAACCAAGUGGCUGGAUAUCAAAGGAAAUCAUGGUAAGAGCCAAGAGCCAGAUACAAUAAAGACAAGAGUUUUUUUCCCCCUUCAGGAACCUAGAUUUUCCAACUUAGAUUGUAAAAUUAUAAAGUGGGACAUUUACAUAUACUAAAGGUCACAUCUCUGAAAUAC
RNAcentral lists this small RNA (524 nucleotides) under Pan troglodytes (chimpanzee). Its description in RNAcentral is "retained intron". Lineage: Eukaryota; Metazoa; Chordata; Mammalia; Primates; Hominidae. The record is from RNAcentral.